RNAcentral lists this ribosomal RNA (497 nucleotides) under uncultured bacterium. RNAcentral describes it as "partial 16S ribosomal RNA". It matches the Rfam family "Bacterial small subunit ribosomal RNA", at positions 28 to 507 of the family's 1533-position model. The record is from RNAcentral.
GAUGAACGCUGGCGGCGUGCCUAAUACAUGCAAGUCGAGCGAACAGACGAGGAGCUUGCUCCUCUGACGUUAGCGGCGGACGGGUGAGUAACACGUGGAUAACCUACCUAUAAGACUGGGAUAACUUCGGGAAACCGGAGCUAAUACCGGAUAAUAUAUUGCACCGCAUGGUUCAAUAGUGAAAGACGGUUUUGCUGUCACUUAUAGAUGGAUCCGCGCCGCAUUAGCUAGUUGGUAAGGUAACGGCUUACCAAGGCAACGAUGCGUAGCCGACCUGAGAGGGUGAUCGGCCACACUAGAACGGAGACACGGUCCAGACUCCUACGGGAGGCAGCAGUAGGGAAUCUUCCGCAAUGGGCGAAAGCCUGACGGAGCAACGCCGCGUGAGUGAUGAAGGUCUUCGGAUCGUAAAACUCUGUUAUUAGGGAAGAACAAAUGUGUAAGUAACUAUGCACGUCUUGACGGUACCUAAUCAGAAAGCCACGGCUAACUACGUG